UAAGCGGAGGAAAAGAAACUAACAAGGAUUCCCCUAGUAACUGCGAGUGAAGCGGGAAGAGCUCAAAUUUAAAAUCUGGUAGUCACACUGGCUGCCCGAGUUGUAAUCUGGAGAAGCGUUUUCCGUGCUGGACCCGUGUACAAGUCUCUUGGAAUAGAGCAUCAUAGAGGGUGAGAAUCCCGUCUCUGACAUGGGCUGCCAGUGCUUUCGUGAUACGCUCUCAAAGAGUCGAGUUGUUUGGGAAUGCAGCUCAAAAUGGGUGGUAAAUUCCAUCUAAAGCUAAAUAACGGCGUGAGACCGAUAGCGAACAAGUACCGUGAGGGAAAGAUGAAAAGAACUUUGGAAAGAGAGUUAAACAGUACGUGAAAUUGUUGAAAGGGAAACGCUUGAAGUCAGUCGUGUCAGCUGGGGAUCAGCCUUGCAGCUUGUGAGGUGCACUUCCCAGUUGAUGGGUCAGCAUCAAUUUUGACCAUUGGAUAAGGGCCAAGGGAAUGUGGCAUCUUUGAUGUGUUAUAGCCUUUGGUCGCAUACGAUGGUUGGGAUUGAGGAGUUUUCAGCACGCCGCAAGGCCCAGGAUUCUUCCAUGUACGUGCUUAGGAUGCUGGCAUAAUGGCUUUA
This 618-nucleotide ribosomal RNA is filed under the name Gliophorus irrigatus. RNAcentral's name for it is "eukaryotic LSU rRNA". It matches the Rfam family "Eukaryotic large subunit ribosomal RNA", at positions 47 to 642 of the family's 3401-position model. The record is from RNAcentral. Lineage: Eukaryota; Fungi; Basidiomycota; Agaricomycetes; Agaricales; Hygrophoraceae.